Molecule: transfer RNA, 73 nt
Filed under: Ursus americanus (American black bear)
Lineage: Eukaryota; Metazoa; Chordata; Mammalia; Carnivora; Ursidae
Also listed under: 1 other name
Rfam family: tRNA
About the family: Transfer RNA (tRNA) molecules are approximately 80 nucleotides in length. Their secondary structure includes four short double-helical elements and three loops (D, anti-codon, and T loops).
Source: Rfam by way of RNAcentral
GCCUGGCUGGCUCAGUUGGUGGAGCAUGUAACUCUUAAUCUCAGGGUCAUGAGUUUGAGCCCCAUAUCGGGCA